GACGAACGCUGGCGGUGUGCUUAACACAUGCAAGUCGAACGAUGAAGCUGGAGCUUGCUCCGGUGGAUUAGUGGCGAACGGGUGAGUAACACGUGAGCAAUCUGCCCUUGACUCUGGGAUAACUGCGGGAAACUGUAGCUAAUACCGGAUACUUUCACUGGAAGGCAUCUUCUGGUGAAGAAAGAAUUUCGGUCAAGGAUGAGCUCGCGGUCUAUCAGCUUGUUGGUGAGGUAACGGCUCACCAAGGCGACGACGGGUAGCCGGCCUGAGAGGGUGACCGGCCACACUGGGACUGAGACACGGCCCAGAUUCCUACGGGAGGCAGCAGUGGGGAAUAUUGCACAAUGGGCGCAAGCCUGAUGCAGCAACGCCGCGUGAGGGAUGAAGGCCUUCGGGUUGUAAACCUCUUUUAGCAGGGAAGAAGCGAAAGUGACGGUACCUGCAGAAAAAGCACCGGCUAACUACGUGCCAGCCGCCGCGGUAA
Molecule: ribosomal RNA, 484 nt
Filed under: uncultured bacterium
Lineage: Bacteria
Description: partial 16S ribosomal RNA
Rfam family: Bacterial small subunit ribosomal RNA
Source: RNAcentral